RNAcentral lists this ribosomal RNA (253 nucleotides) under uncultured bacterium. Its description in RNAcentral is "partial 16S ribosomal RNA". It matches the Rfam family "Bacterial small subunit ribosomal RNA", at positions 524 to 776 of the family's 1533-position model. The record is from RNAcentral.
UACGUAGGGUGCGAGCGUUGUCCGGAAUUAUUGGGCGUAAAGAGCUUGUAGGCGGUCUGACGCGUCUGCUGUGAAAAUCCUGGGCUCAACCCCGGACUUGCAGUGGGUACGGGCAGACUAGAGUGUGGUAGGGGAGACUGGAAUUCCUGGUGUAGCGGUGAAAUGCGGAGAUAUCAGGAGGAACACCGAUGGCGAAGGCAGGUCUCUGGGCCACUACUGACGCUGAGAAGCGAAAGCAUGGGGAGCGAACAGG